UAAAUUAGAGUGUUCAAAGCAGGCUCAGCCUGGAUACCUUAGCAUGGAAUAAUAACAUAUGACUGUCCGCGAUGUUGUUGGUUGCAUCCGGCGGUAAUGAUUAAUAGGGACGAUCGGGGGCAUUUCUAUUCAGCAGUCAAAGGUGAAAUCCUUGGAUUUGCUGAACAGACACUGCUGCGAAAGCGUCUGCCAAGGGCGUUUUCAUUAAUCAAGAACGAAAGUCAGGGGAGCGAACAGGAUUGGAUACCCUCGUAGUCUUGACCAUACACCAUGCCGACUCGGGAUUGGCGAGCCAUGGGGCCCGCCAGCACCGUAUGAAAAAUCAAAGUCUUUGGGUUCCGGGGGGAGUCUGGUCGCAAGGCUGAAACUUAAAGGAAUUGACAGAUGGGCACCACCAGGAGUGGAACCUGCGGCUUAAUUUGACUCAACACGGGGAAACUUACCAGGUCCGGACAUAGUGAGGAUUGACNGAGUGAAAGCUCUUUCUUGA
This 490-nucleotide ribosomal RNA is filed under the name uncultured Eimeriidae. RNAcentral describes it as "bacterial SSU rRNA". It matches the Rfam family "Eukaryotic small subunit ribosomal RNA", at positions 762 to 1265 of the family's 1831-position model. Lineage: Eukaryota; Apicomplexa; Conoidasida; Eucoccidiorida; Eimeriidae. The record is from RNAcentral.